This 447-nucleotide long non-coding RNA is filed under the name Homo sapiens (human). Its description in RNAcentral is "HSALNT0294258". Lineage: Eukaryota; Metazoa; Chordata; Mammalia; Primates; Hominidae. The record is from RNAcentral.
AGAAAAGCAGCAUUGCGAAGUGCAUGGUUUCCAAAUUGAGCUCUGUGGUGUCCUGUCAGAGACCUGGGGAUGGAGGUGCACUGGACAUGAACCAUGCUUCUUCCAGCCAAAAUAUCAAAAAAUUCACAGAAAAAUCUGAGUGUUCAGUUUUUCUUGAAAAGGAUUAAGCCAAGGCACUGAGCAGGGCUGAGCCUGCAAACUGAAGUCCCUCAGUUCUACGCCUGAGCAAGGUAAGAAACUGGGUAUAACUGAUGCAGUAGACUUGUGUGUGAACUACUGUGUUAUAGAGGAGAGAGUAGCCCCUGACCUGGGGGAGUCAAGAGGUUUUUCAGAAGUGGCAUUUUACCCAGAUCUUCAAAGAAAGUCCAAGUUUCACAUAUGGAAGUGGGGAUAGACGAGCAACCAUCUAACAAAUGUAUAUUAAGUGUCAACUAAAAACAAUAUGCU